RNAcentral lists this ribosomal RNA (263 nucleotides) under uncultured prokaryote. RNAcentral describes it as "partial 16S ribosomal RNA". It matches the Rfam family "Bacterial small subunit ribosomal RNA", at positions 524 to 786 of the family's 1533-position model. The record is from RNAcentral.
CACGUAGGGGGCGAGCGUUGUCCGGAAUCAUUGGGCGUAAAGAGCGCGUAGGUGGCUUGUCAGGUCCGAUGUGAAAACCUGGGGCUCAACUCCAGGCCUGCAUCGGAAACCGGCUUGCUAGAGUCUGGGAGAGGAGAGUGGAAUUCCUGGUGUAGCGGUGAAAUGCGUAGAUAUCGGGAGGAACACCAGUGGCGAAGGCGGCUUUCUGGCCAGUUACUGACGCUCAUGCGCGAAAGCUGGGGUAGCGAACCGGAUUAGAUACU